ACAGACCCAGACUGUACGGCCGGCUAUAAAUGGCUCGGGCGGCUGUUGUGUGCGAGUCGGGGUUGGGCGAGUCUACUCACUGCAGCCUGGAUUCACGGGUCCACAUGUGUUAGGCGAGACCACCUCCUGUUGCACGGACUGUUUACCGACACAGCUGAGGAGGGUAUUCACGGCAUACAGGUCACUCUGCGUGGACAGUGGCUACUUUCCACAAACACGGACAGUUGUUUCGAGUAGGAAGUGUAUUUGGUGGUUAAACACCACACAGCGUUUCCAGUGUUUGACAGCUUCCGUAACUUGAAUAAUCUAAGUGCAGUCACCAUGACGUGGAGGAGUCUCUGGGCCCUGGUGCUGGGGCAGAACCCAGACAGCGAGUUCCUGGAACCCUACGCUGCCUCUCUCAUCUUCUUCCUCACCAACAUGGCUUCGGGGAUCGUCCUCCGUUCCCUCAACAAGGUCUUCUCUCCGAAAUGGGCUCAGGAGUACAUUGCUGACUUCCUGUCAACGAUGGAAGCGUGUGCCUAUUUCUUCGAGAACAAUUUCGUGUACAAGUAUUACGGCUCGUUCUGGCUUGGUAUCGCCAUUGUGGUCCAAUGUUUCAUCUGUGGCCGAACAUUCGAAGGAUCCUCGGAGAAUCCGGUCCAAGCGUUUUACAAGCUGGUGACUGGAGAAAUUAAAUUUCCGAAGGCAAUCUUAAAAAUAGUUAUUCAGAGUUUAGCAGGACUUGCUUCGUAUCGGUUCGCGCAGCUAGUGUGGUCACUGGAUUUGAUCUCGGACCAUCAUGAAAGAUAUUACGAGACCGAGUGUGCGUCUGACCUGAACGUGACCCUGACCUUCGGUUUCUUGAUAGAGAUGGCGGCGACGUUGUCAGAUAACUGGUUAUGUAUGCAGACGGUUUCACGGAUGUCGCUACUGGAUGAGUUAGUCAAGUAUGCAAAUGGAGCUAUCAUGAUUGUCGUCGGUAUGGCCACAACCGGCAUGUACUUCAACCCCGCCAUGGCGUCUGGGCACACGCUGGGCUGCAAGGGCACCGCCAUGUUGGAACACUUCCUGGUCUACUGGAUCGGACCAUUUGUCGGGUGCCUCGCCGCCAUUGUCCUGAACAAGGUGCUCCACGUGGACAUGUCUGAAGCUGCUCAGGCGGACAAGAGGAAGAAACUGGAAUAACUGUCACAUACGAAAAAAAGUAUUAGGUCAGGAAUUCCUGAAAAUUCAAUUUAUUUAGGGUUUGUCUUUCCAUCCUUGCACUUCCUCCACAAUAACGGAAUGUCAUCGUUAAGUUUUAUACUGUAACUAAUGAUGCACAAGUCAAUGGAGACAGUUACGUUGGUAGGAAUUGUCCUACAGUUACUGCUAGUUAUAAUAACCAAUGCGAGGAAGUAUCUCCGCGAAGUAAUGCUAAAAUUCCAUAUGGCCAAAAGAGUUCAGUUUUGUUCCCGACUACCAAUACACAAAACGAGUGGGUAACUAACAAGCCAUAUGUUUAGGUUCACGUUGUUGAACCCAGACGAGAUAGGGUAGUAUUGCAUCAACGGUUCCUGUACACAGCGGUUCGGUAGAUUUGCUACCAUCGUUGUCCAUAUUGUUACAUUGCGUCAAAAUCCCACUCACCCACUUGGUAUUACAAAAUACCAACAUUGAUAAAGAUGAGUAUCGAUUUCAACGAAGCGACGUGUAAAUCUGUACAUGAGACAACAAACUAUGUCAACGUGUCCUCUCAGGCAGGCUUUCCACACCGAGCGGCCGCCAGUACAUCUGUCGAUGAAUCACUAAUCCACGACAAGUACUGUCGCUGGCGCUACCUCCGUAGCGUUACAAUAAGCUUUAGAUAAACGAAAUACCUGUGCUACAUGUUGAGGCGAAAACUAAUGGUGUUAGCUGUCAAUCCUGACAAUGUUAUAUUGUAGACAUAGACCUAUAGACCGUUGGUAAGCCGUUGACCUCAGUAAUGUUGUCGUGUACACCCAACCAGGUGGACGUCCUUAAACCGUUGACGUUGACGAUGUUACGGCGUAGACACAAACAGGUCGACGAUGAUUAACCGUUGACGUUGACGAUGUUACGGCGUAGACACAAACAGGUGGACGUUGAUUAACCGUUACAGUGGCGAUUAAAUCAACGUUUGUAACGAGUGGGCAAUAAGUGAUCACCACAAUAACAGGUUCGAGAUGCCGCGGUCCUUAACGUAAUGUAACUAAUAUUGUACAUGGACCUCUCGAUACAGCGAAACAUUGACCACGAAGGAGUGUUAACUAUCGUUUAAGUUCGAAUUUCGGAUACAACGAACUGUUUGUGCAGAUCCCUUGGGACUGACAGGUUAGUUUCAAGGCCGUAGUUAACUUUUUUUGACAGGGAGGGUAAAUAUUUGUACAAGUAUCACUUGUCCCCAACUUGAUUCAAAUUAAACUGUUUUCUAUAAAAAAAUCCAGGGGGGGGGGCAACUGCUGGCCACUACGCCACUGAGUUUACAGUGCUGAACCGGCAUGUUCCAGUAGAGAGUUUACUGUUACCAUUCACAUUUCCGAGUGAUCUCUAGAUCUCACACUUAUUCCCUUGAGAUUAUAGCUUUAAUAUCUGUGUACAUUCCCAUUGGUACAUCCCCGUUCCUAUAUGGUGCUACAGAGACCAUAGGUUAUUUUACAUUGAACCUCGUGAAACCGGACGAUACCGAUACUGAUGCAUUGUGUGGAUUAACACAUGUCCGGAUUAACGAAUCUCCGGUACGCGGUGAUGUAUCUGGUUUUGUACAGUAGCUGUCCGGAGUGUUAGGUGUCCGGGAUAACGAGGUUCCACUGUAUUAUAUUUGAUGCACUAGCUGUGUAUUCACGUGUGCCUGCCCCCAUAUUUUCACAUAAUUGGUUUUAUUUCGAAGUUAAAACCAUUCAUUUUUACAUUCCGCUUCCUCAAUUGUUUUUGGGUGGCAUGGUUAGACCAACUAGAUAUUUAAAUCUCGAGAUUUGUGGACGAAAUGGUAUUGGAUCAGUAACAAAAUAUCGAGAAAGGCUAGGAUAGUCAUUAGGGCAUGACCUUAUCGUCAUCACUGCCUCUGUUGAACUAUUUACUGCAUCGGCUACGAUGUGUAUGUAACGGCGUGACGUCAUCCGACAGACGACAUUCUUAGCUUGUCAACUUGCUGACGGAGUUAACCUCUUUGGUCAUGUGGACAAGGCGUCCGGCCUCUGAUCAGAAGAUCCGUGGUUCGAAUCCCAUCACGGGACUCGGAGUCUUUAUGGCCGCUUCAUGUAGAAAUAAGCGAGGCACGUGGGAUGUGAUAAGCAAUACAAGCGGUAUGUUCAAUCUUACAAUCAUGUCGUGUACAAAUAACUUGAAGCACUUGUAAAAUGUCCCCGCUCUGUCCUCCCGGCCACUGGAUUGGCUUUGCGGGAAGAUCAUGUACUCUGCAGCCGCGGACUUCUGCAAUGUGACUUAUAUGGCAUAAAACAAUAUUUACUCACUAACACUUUGUCAGGCUCGCGGUAGAGUGGGCGUCUUGCAUACAUCACACCUACUGGCGCAGUUCACCGAGAAAAUAUACAGUGAUUUGUAUUCAUGAUUAUUUUGCAACAAAAGCGAUCGAUGACUAUUGUCAUGGGGGUGAGACUAUACACGCUGUUCAGUGCUAAUGAUUUCUGACAACAUAAAUAGACACUGAAAGAAGCUGCCUAACACUACAACGCCUACACCAGUUGACUCUUCAUCAUUCUAACCCGGGGGCGUUUGGUUGGAUGUUUAGGAGAGUGUUUUUUCGUCAUACGAAAUGACCGGGUUCCUUCCCCACAUGGGUACAAUGUGUGAAGUCCAUUUCCGGUGCUUAGGAGGAGGACAACUUUACUCACUCAUUCACUUUUAUAACCGCGUGCACUGACAUAAACUAUGGAAAAACUUGGUCCUUGAGUGUUUGGUCUACUCGCUCCGUCGAUGGCGGUAUGGUAGCCCAGUUUGUAAAGCGUUCGCUCGUCACGCCGAAGGCCCAGGUUCGAUUCCCCACAUGGGUACAAUGUUUAAGGGACAUUUGUGGUAUCCCCGGCUGUGAUAUUGCUGUAAUAUUGCUAGAAACGGGGUACACCGUACUACAAACAUAUUCUCUUACUCCAAGGCCUCCGUGGGGCUGUAGUAUCUAGUAAUCUCUAACCGAAGUGCCUGUCAUGAGACAAUCGGUUCGAGAGUAGCACCAGUAUUCCUUCACACUAACGUGCGGUGUUUAAUGUGAUAUUCAUGCUGUGGCGCAUACUUAGUAUUACCAUUUAUCAGCAUUUCACCCCAAAGUAUCAAUUGUAACUAUUGAGAGUUGUGCGGAUAUCCAACGUUCAGAUUAAAUUGCAUUUGAAGUUGGUGCGUAGAAAGGUAAGGCCAUCUCAAACACAAGUGUUUAUCACCUUUCUUGUUUUAAAUGGAUAAUGGUUUAUUUUUAAUUUUAUUUUUAAUUUCGAUUUUCCAACUACAGCUACGUUGGUACUAACUAAAACAAAUGACACCCCUUCAAUCCACCAAAAACCUCUGCUCCGACUGGUUUCUGGAUCCUCCGCGUGGUAUCGCUCCUCUUCCUUCCAAACCUGUCGCAGAAACGAACGGGAACCAGUCUACCCGAUUUGCAAACUCACAAACGACGUUAUAUUUACUAGUCAUCGGGACCGGUAACACUAAAAAGUGCAACUUCAGAAUGUUAAAAAACGAUAAUUUUCUAAAUAAUGUGGAACCGGAACCUCAUGCUACAUACGCAUAGAUGACUUUUUGAAUUUCGAAAGAAUAGGUUCGGGCAGAUUGCAGGGGCAGACUUUGAUGAGAAAUAAUAUAUUGUAUGUGGCCUUCUGCGGACCAUGGGUCCAGUGAUCCUUCAAAUCGUUGUCAUUUGAAUGUUUUUUCAUCUGCAAUGUGUUUUUUAUCGGAAUGUUUAACCGUUGCAUUGUUUACGCAGAAUUGUUAACAUUUUACCACAAUCUAGCCUUGUUAAUAAAACUGACAUUUAAUGGC
This 4971-nucleotide unclassified non-coding RNA is filed under the name Haliotis rufescens (red abalone). Its description in RNAcentral is "aquaporin-11-like, transcript variant X1". The record is from RNAcentral. Lineage: Eukaryota; Metazoa; Mollusca; Gastropoda; Lepetellida; Haliotidae.